RNAcentral lists this microRNA precursor (78 nucleotides) under Schistosoma margrebowiei. RNAcentral describes it as "mir-3492 microRNA precursor family". It matches the Rfam family "mir-3492 microRNA precursor family". The record is from Rfam by way of RNAcentral. Lineage: Eukaryota; Metazoa; Platyhelminthes; Trematoda; Strigeidida; Schistosomatidae.
AUCUUUCUGAAUUCGUGCAGAGAUUUAGUCAUAUACCAACACAUUAGGGCUGAUUAGACUCCAAAGAUAAGCGAAGUU